AACUCAAAGGAUGUAUCACAGAUAUAAUAUACACAAUGUGAUAGUAGAAUAAUCCUUUUAUUCAUUUAUAGUCAAAAUUAUAAAUUUAUCCUUACAUUUGUACAGGAAUGUGUCAGCCAAUCUGACAUCUAGGACACACAUCUAACACUAUCUAGGUACCAGCAACUUCUUCAGAGUCAUGGUAUCAUGGCUCCACCACCUUUCUCUCAGUCACCAUCAGCCCAU
Molecule: long non-coding RNA, 225 nt
Filed under: Elaeis guineensis (African oil palm)
Lineage: Eukaryota; Viridiplantae; Streptophyta; Magnoliopsida; Arecales; Arecaceae
Description: long non-coding RNA (EGUI_LNC037128)
Source: RNAcentral